AGGUAGCACAAUCACUUGUUCUUUAAAUGAGGACUAGAAUCAAUGGCGUCACGAGGGUUCCACUGUCUCCUUUUUCUAAUCAGUGAAAUUGAUCUCCCCGUGAAGAAGCGGGGAUAAUAAUAUAAGACGAGAAGACCCCAUGGAGCUUCAAACUCAACGAAUAACUCUACAACUACUAGAUAUCUUAAGAGACCUAUCCGUUAGUUUUGGGUUGGGGUGACCACGGAGAACAACCUAACCUCCGUAAUGAAAAGAAAUCAUAAUCUAAGAGCUACACCUCUAAGAAUUAACAAAUUAACAUACAAUGAUCCAUUUUAUUGAUCAAUGAACCAAGUUACCCUGGGGAUAACAGCGCUAUCCACUUCUAGAGUCCAUAUCGCCAAGUGGGUUUACGACCUCGAUGUUGGAUCAGGGUGUCCGAGUGGUGCAGCCGCUACUAAACGUUUGUUCAACGAUUAAAACCCUACAUGAU
Molecule: ribosomal RNA, 472 nt
Filed under: Ptychadena neumanni
Lineage: Eukaryota; Metazoa; Chordata; Amphibia; Anura; Ptychadenidae
Description: partial 16S ribosomal RNA
Rfam family: Bacterial large subunit ribosomal RNA
Source: RNAcentral